GUAUGGUGCAAGCGUUAUCCGGAUUUAUUGGGCGUAAAGGGUACGCAGGCGGUUUAAUAAGUCGAAUGUUAAAGAUCGGGGCUCAACCCCGUAAAGCAUUGNAAACUGAUAAACUUGAGUAGUGGANAGGAAAGUGGAAUUCCUANUGUAGUGGUGAAGUACNUAAAUAUUAAGAGGAACACCAGCGGCNAANGCNGAUUGCUGGACNAUAACUGACGGUGANGCNCGAANGUGUGNNGAGCAAACNGGAUUAGAUACCCUGGUAGUCCACGCUGUAAACGAUGAAUACUAGGUGUGCGGGGACUGACCCCCUGCGUGCCGCAGCUAACGCAAUAAGUAUUCCGCCUGGGGAGU
This 354-nucleotide ribosomal RNA is filed under the name uncultured bacterium. RNAcentral's name for it is "partial 16S ribosomal RNA". It matches the Rfam family "Bacterial small subunit ribosomal RNA", at positions 527 to 881 of the family's 1533-position model. The record is from RNAcentral.